UGACGGUACCUGACUAAGAAGCACCGGCUAAAUACGUGCCAGCAGCCGCGGUAAUACGUAGGUGGCAAGCGUUAUCCGGAUUUAUUGGGCGUAAAGGGAACGCAGGCGGUUUUUUAAGUCUGAUGUGAAAGCCUUCGGCUUAACCGGAGAAUAGCAUUGGAAACUGGAAGACUUGAGUGCAGAAGAGGAGAGUGGAACUCCAUGUGUAGCGGUGAAAUGCGUAGAUAUAUGGAAGAACACCAGUGGCGAAAGCGGCUCUCUGGUCUGUAACUGACGCUGAGGUUCGAAAGCGUGGGUAGCAAACAGGAUUAGAUACCCUG
Molecule: ribosomal RNA, 320 nt
Filed under: uncultured bacterium
Lineage: Bacteria
Description: bacterial SSU rRNA
Rfam family: Bacterial small subunit ribosomal RNA
Source: RNAcentral